Molecule: ribosomal RNA, 292 nt
Filed under: uncultured bacterium
Lineage: Bacteria
Description: partial 16S ribosomal RNA
Rfam family: Bacterial small subunit ribosomal RNA
Source: RNAcentral
GUGUCAGCCGCCGCGGUAAUACGUAGGGGGCGAGCGUUGUCCGGAUUUAUUGGGCGUAAAGAGCGUGUAGGCGGCCAGGUAGGUCCGUUGUGAAAACUCGAGGCUCAACCUCGAGAUGUCGAUGGAAACCAUCUGGCUAGAGUCCGGAAGAGGAGAGUGGAAUUCCUGGUGUAGCGGUGAAAUGCGCAGAUAUCAGGAAGAACACCUAUGGCGAAGGCAGCUCUCUGGGACGGUACUGACGCUGAGACGCGAAAGCGUGGGGAGCGAACAGGAUUAGAAACCCUUGUAGUCC